UUAAUAAAUUAAUUGUACACUUUCAGACUUUCAGUGUCAGCCUAAUAAUAGAGGAUUGUACCAUGUUCCUCUGCCCCCGUAAUAAAAAGAGAAAGAGGUUAUUAAAAUAUUAAAAAAAAAGCUAUUUCUUUAUUUUUACUAUGCAUUCGAAUUCUACAAGACGUACUGAUAUUUGAUCCAAAUUUCAUAUUUCCUAACAUUUUCCCCAAAAUUCUGCAAAACGAUAUGCGUGGGUUGGGCUUGACUCGGCCGUUGAAUUUCUUUACCAUUUACCAUUGCAAGAUCCAACCUUUUCUAACUCCUGAUGUUUGUGCGAGAAGGGGCCCCGGGAUGGAUGGGCUUUUAGACCCACUCUGUUGUUUUUCUCUAUUGUCCCCAUUUCGUUUAGCCGACAUCAAGUGCCAGUUUCAUCUUCGUCCUCGCUGUCCCUCCGACCAAAAUCCUCUCUCAUUUUUGUCCGUAACUCUGGUCUCAACAAUCAUUUCUGUUAAUUGGACCAGGGUGAUCGACUCUGCGUUUCUAAUCGUCUAUUUUCAACUUUGAUGUCUUCGAGAAUGAAAUUCAUACAACAGUUUCAUAUGUAAUUUCUGGCCUCUCUCUUCCUUCGACCCAUUUUGCCGUCGUAUUUUACGUAAAAGGACACUCUCCCAUUAUAAUUACCGGUAAACGGAGACAGUCACAGAAAUUGGGUCGGGGAAUUCACUGCUUGAUUUUUCCUUCAUGGGUGUUCCUCGAAUCCUUGACCAUUUUGUGGAGCAUUUUCUAUUCCUUUUUGGAGGUAAACUUAAAACUUCUGUGGGCAAAUUCCGGAUUUGACUUUUUAAUGCUUGAUUCAUAUCCGACAGCAAAUGUUGAAGACAGCUGGUUUACGUUAGGUUCAUACAAAAAGCAUAACACAAACAAAAAUUUUGUUCUGAAUGCCAGUGGCAGUGGGUUCAAUUCAGCUGUUCCCGAAUCUAAUGUGUAUCGUGGAAAAGGAUCUUGAAAUGGAAGAACUGAACGGAGCACUCAUAGCAGAAAUUAUGAGUGAUAAUGGCAUAAACUCUUGGUGGAAAGGCCACAGAUAAGUGGGUCAGCUAGCUGAGCUGCCCAUGCUUCUCAGUUCUCCCUCCAAACUUUCUUGGUAUUUACACUCCUCCUGCAUGUUCUGUUUCUGUUUCUGCUUGCUGAUGGCAUUGGCGGCACAGUGAAGCAACAGCUACGAUCAGAAUCAGUGUGGCUGGCUAGUCCAUCUAACACGCUUGUAUUUAUACAGAGUAAUUCUAUACAUAAGCCACUGUUUAUGUAGCACACCACACACUUAUAGGUUGAUGAAUAAUAGCUGCUUUCAAUAUUUUA
Carya illinoinensis is the source of this 1338-nucleotide long non-coding RNA. RefSeq lists it as uncharacterized. NCBI's taxonomy places the organism in Eukaryota, Viridiplantae, Streptophyta, Magnoliopsida, Fagales, Juglandaceae. The record is from RefSeq and is a predicted model, not a curated record. The transcript is spliced from 2 exons.